GCAGCCCGCGCGGGGACGUGGUGUCGCCCCUGAAGGGCCCCGCGGGUGCCCGCGGCGAGGGGGGAGAGGAGAGGGCCCUCCCCGGCCCUGCUGGCGGCUGGGCCUAGCGGUGGCCGGUCCCCGGAACUGCCGCGUUCAGCGGGCGUGACGGGCCCCGGCCCAGCCUAGGCCGAGCCGGGAGAUCCGCUCGGGGGUCUGUGGACUUCAAAGCUGGAAGGUGAUGCGGGAUGAAAGAGAAGUUUCUCAGCUAUAAAUUCUUCUUAUGACUCCGUGAAAACUGAAAUGGACAGUGUGAAAAAGAAAAAAAUCUCCUGUAAAGAUCACGGAAAGCGCUGCACCCCACAGAAAACAGUGAGGAGUGCUGCGGGCCCAAAGCGAGCUUCAGACUUCGAAAUACUUUGAGGUAUCUAAUUCUUGUCCCGAGAUCAGCCGUAUAUUGGGAAAAGUUGCUCCUGGUGAGAGCAGUCAAGUUUCUAUGUGCUGAAGGAUCAGACACGGGAACGCAGACCUGGAAGGGACCGUUCAGCUCAUCGAGUCCAGCCCCAACAGCUGCUGACAAGCACUCAGCAGAAGGUGAGUCUGGGUUCACACAACAUGUCCCUGCGCAUUACAGGGCACACAACACCUUCCUGAAACAUCUGGUAAAGGACAAAGAGCCACAGCUUUAAAGUCACAGGAGAGAUCAGGGGCAUCGCUGGCAUCGAUCACCUAGUGGGGCUUGCUAGGCGAUACUUCUCAUUGCAGCUACCCUUUUCAUGUAUCUGAUGAUUAUUAUUAUGUUUCAGUGGUAUCUUCCAGACAGAUGAAUGGUUCCAGGUCUCCGUUUGUCUAAGUCAUGUUUUCUAAACCUGUGAUCAUCUUUGCUCCCUGGGGUGACUUUGGAAGCGUGGUGCCCCAAACUGCACGCAGUAUUGCUGCUGAGGCUUUAGCAGCAUCACACAGAGCAAGGAUUGCUUCACGUGUCCUGUGUAGGAUAAUCCCAGUGUAGUGCUCUCUUUUUUUUUUUCCAGCAGUAUCUCACUGUUGAUUCAGGUUCAGCACCUGAUCCACUGACACCAACUGAAAGUUUUCAACAGUAGUGCUACCUAGCCACUCACUCCUCACCCUGUACAAAUUCAGCCGAUCAUUUGUACUUGUAUUAAGAAUUCUGCAUUUGCUUUCAUUUGCAUCCUGUUUUCUUCAGGCCAUCUCUCCAAUUUUUUAAGAUCAUUUCUAAUUCUGAUUCUGCAUUCCAGCUUGCUUGAAGCCUGUGUCAUGUUGGUAUCAUAUGUAUCAUAUACAAACUUUUAAUCUUGCUAUUUCAUUGUCUACUAAAAACAUUGAUUGAUAGUAGGAUCAGAAGAGACUUUUGCAGAGCUCCUUUUGAUACAUUAUUUCCUGGAUUGGUAACUAUUAAUAAACUGCUCCCUAAAGUGUAAAUGCUCGUUUAAGUAGUCUCACCUGUUCAGCUGCUUGUUCCUGCCUUCCUCCUCCCAUUUGCUGUUGCUAGAGCAAAGGGUUGGAGGGCCAUAUGAUGAACCAAGAUGAGGGAGCUGAUCUGCGUUGGGAAUGUGAAAGCAUCGUUGAACACAAUACAAAGUGAAGGCCUAUUACCUGGGCACGCAGGAAAUCAGAUUGUCUUGGCAAGUUCACACUUGACAAAUACAGGUUAGCUGUCCUUGUUUCCAUGCUGUUGUCUAGAUGCUAAUAAACAACUUGAUUAUUUUCAGUA
This is a long non-coding RNA of Dromaius novaehollandiae (emu), 1711 nucleotides long. RefSeq lists it as uncharacterized. The transcript is spliced from 4 exons. NCBI's taxonomy places the organism in Eukaryota, Metazoa, Chordata, Aves, Casuariiformes, Dromaiidae. The record is from RefSeq and is a predicted model, not a curated record.